UAACAAGGUAUCCGUACCGGAAGGUGCGGAUGGAUCACCUCCUAACAGGGAGACAAAACAAUGAUUUUGAUGUCUGAGUAAUUUAUUCUUAGGCCGAAAUCCUGUCACCUUAGGUCGAUCGGUACCUCAACAUUUUUUCAAAGAUUGAUGAGCAAUCAUCGAGAGAUUGAAAGAGAUGUUCAGUUCCUAAACUUUGUCUAGGUCACACCCCGCAAGGGAAGAGUCCCCUGGGCCAUUAGCUCAGGUGGUUAGAGCGCACCCCUGAUAAGGGUGAGGUCCCUGGUUCAAGUCCAGGAUGGCCCAUUCGGUGUUGGGGGUUUAGCUCAGUUGGUAGAGCGCCUGCUUUGCAAGCAGGAUGUCAGGAGUUCGAGUCUCCUAACCUCCACUGACCGAACUCAAUCUCCAUUGUCCGGUAACUCGGAGGAUGAACUCGAGUGAGUGUGAUUUAGAUGUGUCCACUAGAUUGGACCCCAGCUUCCUGUCAUUCCAAACAAGUAAAUAUUGCUUGAAUGGUUGAUAAGAUGCUGGGCUCAGAUUAAUCGAAAGAUUGAUUUGAUGUCUAGUAGAACCUUGACAACUGCAUAGGUAAGUCUGGAAAAACAAAGCAUCUUACAGAUGCAUUGUUUUAAGCCUGAAUUCUCGAAAGGGAAUUUAGAAUUAGAACAAUGAAAAUUCUUUUGAGCAAGAGCCGAGACUCUUAAAUGUUCUUUGAUUCGUGUCGAGCGAAUUAGAGUUUGAUUUUGUUU
This 746-nucleotide transfer RNA is filed under the name uncultured Synechococcus sp. RNAcentral's name for it is "partial may contain 16S ribosomal RNA, 16S-23S ribosomal RNA intergenic spacer, and 23S ribosomal RNA". The stretch from base 313 to 385 matches the Rfam family "tRNA". Lineage: Bacteria; Bacillati; Cyanobacteriota; Cyanophyceae; Synechococcales; Synechococcaceae. The record is from RNAcentral.